Molecule: ribosomal RNA, 384 nt
Filed under: Macrostylis roaldi
Lineage: Eukaryota; Metazoa; Arthropoda; Malacostraca; Isopoda; Macrostylidae
Description: partial 16S ribosomal RNA
Source: RNAcentral
UUUGCUCUUUAACGGAGGGCUAGCAUAAAAGAGAUUACGACACUAAACCUUUUUUAAUUUUAAAACAAAACUUAAUAUCUACAUCAAAAAGUGUAGAUAUCUUAAAAAGACGAUAAGACCCUAUAAAACUUUAUUACUAUCUUGAAAUUCUUUUUAGAAAACCUUCUUUAAAAAUAGUAAUUGUGCUGGGGCGGCUUCUAAUUCAUUCUUUAGAAAAAAUAACACUUUUUGUGGAAAACAAGAUCUGAUAAAGAAUAGAGCAAGUUACUUUAGGGAUAACAGCGCAAUAUACCAUUAUAUAAUAAUGGUAGGACUUGCGACCUCGAUGUUGAAUUUGGGGAGCCUGCCUCUGGUAAGGAGGUCUGUUCGACCUUUAAUCCCCCA